AAUAGAUACCCUGGUAGUCCACGCCGUAAACGAUGUGUGCUAGAAGUCGGGAUAACUCGGUUUCGAAGCUAACGCAUUAAGCACACCGCCUGGGGAGUACGGUCGCAAGGCUGGAACUCAAAGGAAUUGACGGGGACCCGCACAAGUAGUGGAGCAUGUGGUUUAAUUCGAUGCAACGCGAUGAACCUUACCAAGACUUGACAUACUCGGCAAAGCUAUAGAGAUAUAGUGGAGGUUAUCCGAUGUACAGGUGGUGCAUGGUUGUCGUCAGCUCGUGUCGUGAGAUGUUGGGUUAAGUCCCGCAACGAGCGCAACCCCUACCUUUAUUUGCUAACAUUAAGUUGAGGACUAUAGAGAGACUGCCUACGCAAGUAGGAGGAAGGUGGGGAUGACGUCAAAUCAUCAUGCCCCUUAUGUCUUGGGCUACACACGUGCUACAAUGGCCGGUACAAAGGGCUGCAAACUGGUGACAGUAAGCGAAUCCCAUAAAGCCGGUCUAAGUUCGGAUUGAAGUCUGCAACUCGACUU
Molecule: ribosomal RNA, 528 nt
Filed under: uncultured bacterium
Lineage: Bacteria
Description: bacterial SSU rRNA
Rfam family: Bacterial small subunit ribosomal RNA
Source: RNAcentral